UUGUAUAUUAGGGUUUGCGAUAUAGCAUAUGCAAGAUUAAACAUGGGGGUUGCUAGCCGGAACAGUGCUAUUUGGUGAAAAAGUAACAUUGAUCGCACAGGACAGGACACCCUGAAUUACGAUCAUAUCUCUGACAGAGAUGGGAUCGUCAAGUGAAAUUACAAUGCCAUUGAGGGAGCUGCCGCCAUGAUUGCAGAAAUGGCGACAAUGAGGCCAAGGAAGAGCGUGCUGUUGCGGGAAGCCAUGGAACCUUGGCUAGCUUUUAUGUAAUUAUAAGAACUUAUUGAUGACGAGAAAGAAGCUUAUGUGUUUUGAUGACAACUGGGGAAC
RNAcentral lists this long non-coding RNA (330 nucleotides) under Daucus carota (carrot). Its description in RNAcentral is "long non-coding RNA (DCAR_LNC004197)". The record is from RNAcentral. Lineage: Eukaryota; Viridiplantae; Streptophyta; Magnoliopsida; Apiales; Apiaceae.